GGUCGCGUAGCUCAGCGGGAGAGCGCCUGCUUCACACGCAGGAUGUCACAGGUUCAAUCCCUGUCGCGACCA
Molecule: transfer RNA, 72 nt
Filed under: Caulobacter henricii
Lineage: Bacteria; Pseudomonadati; Pseudomonadota; Alphaproteobacteria; Caulobacterales; Caulobacteraceae
Rfam family: tRNA
About the family: Transfer RNA (tRNA) molecules are approximately 80 nucleotides in length. Their secondary structure includes four short double-helical elements and three loops (D, anti-codon, and T loops).
Source: Rfam by way of RNAcentral